GGGACGCACACACCACUAUUCUGCAAGAAAAAGACAGUGCUUGGAGGUUUCCACCUUUUAUAUACACAGCAAAAGUAAUUAACUCUUCGUGACGGUGAUGCAUGAGGAUGAAAGGGGACUCCCAUCAGUGUGGGAUUAAGGCACAGAUUCAGGAACUUGGCUUGUGACAAGGAGCAUGAGGAAUAUACUCUGCAUUUUUUGAAACUCAGUUGAGUGGAAAACGAGAAAAUGCUUCUGUUUGUGCCUGGCCCUGUUUGAACCCUGCGCAUCUCCGUGUGCUCCAGCAUCCCAGAGCAUCAGGUUGCCCAGACAAACCUACAGCGCUCGGCGAUGGCGUUGCACGCGAGCUGGCAGGUGGCCCGUCCACCCUCUGCACCGUGAAGCACUUUGGUAACAGCCUGAGACAAAACCUCUUCCUUAGAGGGUAUUUUGUCCGCACUUUAAAAGCAAGGCAGACAAUCCAUGAAAUAAGGAGGUGUUUCCAAAUCUGUGCUGCCUCCUGGUUUUAACCACAGAGUCCCCACAUGGCUGUGGGCUCUGGGCGAUAGAUAGCCCCAGCCCUGCCCUGGGAUGGAUGGGCUGUGGGUGCCCCAGGAGGGGUCCACG
Chroicocephalus ridibundus (black-headed gull) is the source of this 606-nucleotide long non-coding RNA. RefSeq lists it as uncharacterized. The transcript has 3 exons. NCBI's taxonomy places the organism in Eukaryota, Metazoa, Chordata, Aves, Charadriiformes, Laridae. The record is from RefSeq and is a predicted model, not a curated record.